RNAcentral lists this ribosomal RNA (253 nucleotides) under uncultured Delftia sp. Its description in RNAcentral is "partial 16S ribosomal RNA". It matches the Rfam family "Bacterial small subunit ribosomal RNA", at positions 99 to 355 of the family's 1533-position model. Lineage: Bacteria; Pseudomonadati; Pseudomonadota; Betaproteobacteria; Burkholderiales; Comamonadaceae. The record is from RNAcentral.
CGAACGGGUGAGUAAUACAUCGGACGUGCCCAGUCGUGGGGGAUAACUACUCGAAAGAGUAGCUAAUACCGCAUACGAUCUGAGGAUGAAAGCGGGGGACCUUCGGGCCUCGCGCGAUUGGAGCGGCCGAUGGCAGAUUAGGUAGUUGGUGGGAUAAAAGCUUACCAAGCCGACGAUCUGUAGCUGGUCUGAGAGGACGACCAGCCACACUGGGACUGAGACACGGCCCAGACUCCUACGGGAGGCAGCAGCA